This 497-nucleotide ribosomal RNA is filed under the name uncultured bacterium. RNAcentral's name for it is "partial 16S ribosomal RNA". It matches the Rfam family "Bacterial small subunit ribosomal RNA", at positions 28 to 507 of the family's 1533-position model. The record is from RNAcentral.
GAUGAACGCUGGCGGCGUGCCUAAUACAUGCAAGUCGAGCGAACGGACGAGAAGCUUGCUUCUCUGAUGUUAGCGGCGGACGGGUGAGUAACACGUGGAUAACCUACCUAUAAGACUGGGAUAACUUCGGGAAACCGGAGCUAAUACCGGAUAAUAUUUUGAACCGCAUGGUUCAAUAGUGAAAGACGGUCUUGCUGUCACUUAUAGAUGGAUCCGCGCUGCAUUAGCUAGUUGGUAAGGUAACGGCUUACCAAGGCAACGAUGCAUAGCCGACCUGAGAGGGUGAUCGGCCACACUGGAACUGAGACACGGUCCAGACUCCUACGGGAGGCAGCAGUAGGGAAUCUUCCGCAAUGGGCGAAAGCCUGACGGAGCAACGCCGCGUGAGUGAUGAAGGUCUUCGGAUCGUAAAACUCUGUUAUUAGGGAAGAACAUAUGUGUAAGUAACUGUGCACAUCUUGACAGUACCUAAUCAGAAAGCCACGGCUAACUACGUG